Molecule: long non-coding RNA, 406 nt
Organism: Sinocyclocheilus anshuiensis
Lineage: Eukaryota; Metazoa; Chordata; Actinopteri; Cypriniformes; Cyprinidae
Exons: 3
Source: RefSeq, a predicted model, not a curated record
AUUAUUGUAUCUUUAUCUUAAAUGUAUCAAUUUCCUCAAAAUAACUGUUUUUGCACCAUGGUUUGCCCAUAGGGUGUACUCAACGGGAAGCCCUCUAAGUGGUCUCAUAAGCUAACCUCUUCCUGAGUGCCUGUCUACCUCGACAGUGAGGAACAACUGUCCUUUUUGCCUAUCUGAGAGGAGUGCUGCAUAGGACACCAACACAACUGAGCUUCACAGAUGAAGUGCAGUUCAUCUGUGGUGCUCUUUUUCCAGAGGCCAUCAUAUAUGCCCUGGCUGUCCUGCGGAAUUUCUCAUUGCAGGAGGCUGAGCAGGUCUUCCUUUCUGGUCCGGAUUAUCAUUACAGGAGCUGAAGCCUACAGCUUUUCUGUCCAUGCAGCAACUGAUGGAAAAGGGGGUCUUUUUU